Mus musculus (house mouse) is the source of this 1736-nucleotide long non-coding RNA. RefSeq annotates it as predicted gene, 50611. NCBI's taxonomy places the organism in Eukaryota, Metazoa, Chordata, Mammalia, Rodentia, Muridae. The transcript is spliced from 5 exons. The record is from RefSeq and is a predicted model, not a curated record.
AAAAAAAAAAUAUCCAUCUAUAAUGUCUACUAAGGUUCAAAGAAGCUUAGGAGAAGGUGGUCAUGGUUAAUUAAUGAAACAACAAGAGGAUUGCUACCAGCCUCCAGCCUGCUUAGGAUGCCUCUAAGGCUGGAAGAAUGAGAUCCUGAUGAUAGUCAUUCAUGGUCCUCUCUUCUUACAAGAGUGCACCUUGCUGCUGUGUCAUUGAAAAUCGUGGAUGCUGUGUCCUCAUAUAAUAGAAGAACUACUAGAAGGGCAGAAUGUCCUGGCAGGUUCCCUCUAAUGUAUUUAUAUCGGCUGUUAAUCCCAUUACUGAGGGCAGAGCCUAAACAUCCUAACCAACUUAAACUAGCACCUGUAGCAGAUGGACCCAGGAAAGAAGCCUGAAAGACCUAACCAAUUCUGUACUCUACAGUAAGGCUCCCCUUGAAUAAAUCAGAACACAGAUGGGAAGCAAGGGACCCUGAGCACAGACUUACAACUGUGAUUCUUCAGCAGCAGGUUUGUGAGAAAAAAAAAAAAAAAAAACUCUUCCAAGAGUUCCACUGGACAUCUAAGCUUCUGAAAAAAUACCCCUUCUCUAUGAUGGAGAUAUCUCAUGUAUCAAGGGAGUGGAAACAUAGUUGCAUAAGAAGACUGUUUCAAGAACCAAAUUCCAGUCAUGGAGUUUAGAGGUAAGUUUAAUGCUCUUACCUCUGAACCAUUUCCCCAGCCUUAAAUUUAUCCUCCUUUAAAGAUUAGAAUCCAAUGGCAUUAAACAUCUGUCGCGUUUGCUAUAUAGACACCAUCACCAUCCAUCUCUAGAGAAUUCCAGGCUCAUGAAAACUAAAUGUAGUUGCUAUAGUUGAUAACUGUACAGGAAUAUAAUGCCUAAUUACAUGACAAAAUAUGUAUUACAAUACAACUGUCUUGUAUAAUGAUGAAGUCAAGAGGAGAUAUUUCCCUCAGAUUUUAAAUAUGAAAACAAUUUCUUAGGACUAAUCUGAUCAUGGAUUCUUUAUGAGAGUUGCUAUUAGGUAUGGGGCCUUGGAAAGAGUAGACAGGAACCUAGAAUAACUGUUUCCUAAGAGGUUUCAUCCAGGACCCAGUGGAAACAAAUGAAGAGAUCCACAGCCAAACAUCAGGUAGAGAACAGGGAGUCUUUUAGAAGAGUCUGGGUUAAAACUGAGUGGGCUGGAGGGGUCAAGGACACCACAAAAGACCAACAGAAUCAGCUAACCUGGGUCUAUGGGGGCUUACAGAAACUGAACUGCCAACCAAAGAGCAUAUAAGGGCUGGACCUAAGUCCCCUACACAUUUGUAGCAGAUGUACAGCUUGGUCUUCAUGUGGGUACUCUAAGAAUUGGGGUGGGGCCUACCUGGACUACCUGGUUGGAUCUCAGUGGGAGAGAAAGUGCAUAGUCCUGCUGAUACUAGAUGUCCCAAGAUGGAGUGGUACGGGGGGGGGGCUUCCCUCCCUCAGAGAAGGAGAGAGAGUAAAGGGUAGAGGGAUUUGUGAGGGUGGUAAUAGGAAGAGAGGAGGGAGGAGAGUUCAGUCUGGAUGUAUACAUCAAGGCAAUCUCUGACUCAAACUAGGAGAUCUAAUGUGGGGCAAUGGGCUAUGUGCAGAUAGCCUGGUCUCCAGUGGAGCUAAGGUCUUGAACCCCUGUAGUACCUUUGGGUGAUAAUUUACACCUACAUGGGAUGGUAGGCAUUCCCUCAUGUCUCCUGGAACCCUGGCUCCUGUUGAAGUUACU